This 531-nucleotide unclassified non-coding RNA is filed under the name Hevea brasiliensis (rubber tree). The record is from RNAcentral. Lineage: Eukaryota; Viridiplantae; Streptophyta; Magnoliopsida; Malpighiales; Euphorbiaceae.
GGAGAAAUUUGAGUGAAAAUUUGAAAGAAUAUGAGAGAUAUAGCAACUUUUGAAGAAAGAAUAAGCAGACAAAGAAAAGAGAAGCAAAAUGACACUGUUUCCAUGUGAUUGCAACAUAGGAAUAAUUAAAUAAUGGCCAUUAAAUAACGGCUGUCACCGUUACAUAAGGUAUGUAAUGGUUAUGACCAUUACACCUGCAAGUCCAGAUUUGCAGGUAAAUAACGGUGUAUCGUGUAACGGGCCCUUCCAAAACCUGUAUUUUGAAACCAUGUCUAUCAUAUUAAAAAAGGGGGGUAGUCACAACUUGUAUUGGCCUUGGAAUUUACUUAAUGCAUACAAUUAAUAAAAAUUGGAAACUCUAAAAUCUAAAUUUGUCUAAUCUUUGAAUACUAUUUCCUCGCUAUAAGAUUCAAUAAAAGGAAAACUUUUCAAUAUAAUAGAAGUAGAAUCAAAUCUCCAAAAUUAUCAAAUAAGGUAAAAUAUAACAUACUCUCAAAGUCUCAGAUGAUUAGAUCAACCUAUUCCUAGAAC